UCUUUUGUCCUCCUCUCUGUGCUUCAAUCUGCAGGUGCUGAUUUGUUUUCUAACUGCACAGAAGAGUGUAAGGCCCUGGGGCACUCUGAUCGCUGCUGGAUGCCCAGCUUUGUGCCAUCUGAUGGGCGCCAGGGUCUAGACUACCGCAGCAACCUCCAUGUGCCCGGCAUGGACUCAGUCCCAGAUACAGAGCGAGGAAGAGGGUUUGCUAGCUCCUUCCGUGUGGACAUACCAGAGACUGCAUGACUUUGCACAAUCUCUCCCUGACAACUGGCUAUAAAAAUGCAUCAAGACUGAACGCAUUUUGUCGUCCCCUGCUCUUCUCCUUUGUUACUCACUGAAAUGGAAGCUUACAUUUGCCUUCGACUGCACACAGGAUGAGGAACACAAAGUUUAAUAUUUGCUCUCUUCUGGAGCUGCUUUCCCAGGUUUUGGAAGCUUCCAGAAUCUUGGUAUUUAGUGCCAGUCGGACAUGGAGCAGGAGGAAGAAGAGAAGGAGGUGAAAUGGGUGCAGGGACGCUACUAAAUGUAUAACCUUACUGGGUGGACUCAUUUUCUCAGCCGGACUGAGAAAUCUCCUAAAAAAAACAAAACACAACAAAAACCCAUAAAAAUCAGAGAAAACUUGCAGUGGUGUAGAGGAAAACUGGAUUUUUAUUCUUCAAGCUGUGUGCCUGUUUACAGCACUGAUGUUGAUGUGGAAAAUCACACCAGAUGAGGACUUCAUAUAAACAACGUAAGUGACAGCCAAUGAGAGAAACAGCCCUUUAGGCGUGCUCACACAGUGACGCACCAAACUGUACAGGAAAAUCGUUGUGCAUUUCUAAAUGCAAUACCACUGUUUGAGAUUUUUCUAUUCUGUUGUGUGGUCAGGUGUCUCUGGUACAAUCUACUUUUAACUUGGUAAGAAAAGAUGUGUGCAGGAUAUUGGAUUUUCUGUUAUUUUUAUGUCACUUCUUUUACAUUUAUUUGAUAUUUGAUUUUGAUUUUCCUAUGGCUUACAUAUUUCUGAUUCUGAGCCAUCCGGUUCUUUCUAUCAUGUCUGAGAAGUGUUUAUUGUACUCUUUUAAAAACUUUGAAGCUUAAUAUAAAACUAUAUAAAUUGAUCUAUAUCUACUUGUUCUGAAGGCGUGCUGUUUGUUACUGAGUUUUCCUUUUCAGAGGUGUGACUCUAGUUGAAGUGCCCAUGUAGAAAGCUUAUUUUCUUCCGCUGGACACAUAAGACACAUUCCAGCCUUGGCAGAUGGAAAACUUAGGUUCUCAUUUUAUAUUUUUUCCCACUUUGAAUAAUGAUAAAGAUCAUUUCUAUAAAUAAAGAGUUAAUAAUUUAGACUGAAAGUUGUGGUAAUUUUGUGUCACAGUAAGCAACACUUUAAGGAUGAUCAGAUGCAGCGUGUUGUUCACAAUGCCGUUGAAAUCUGGUAUACAUAUUUGUUUCUCACACAUUGCGAACACCAGUAAGCCAACAAUAAAUGGAACAUAAUGAAAAUUUA
Molecule: long non-coding RNA, 1493 nt
Organism: Poecilia latipinna (sailfin molly)
Lineage: Eukaryota; Metazoa; Chordata; Actinopteri; Cyprinodontiformes; Poeciliidae
Exons: 2
Source: RefSeq, a predicted model, not a curated record